UACGGAGGGUGCAAGCGUUGUUCGGAAUUACUGGGCGUAAAGCGUGUCUAGGCGGAAGCGUAUGUCAGGUGUGAAAGACUCCUGCUUAACGGGAGAAUUGCGCCUGAAACUGCGCUCCUUGAGUUGUGAAGAGGCGGGCGGAAUUUCUCAUGUAGCAGUGAAAUGCGUUGAUAUGAGGAAGAACACCGGAAGCGAAAGCGGCUCGCUGGUCACAUACUGACGCUGAAGCAUGAAAGCGUGGGGAUCAAACAGG
This 253-nucleotide ribosomal RNA is filed under the name uncultured bacterium. RNAcentral's name for it is "partial 16S ribosomal RNA". It matches the Rfam family "Bacterial small subunit ribosomal RNA", at positions 524 to 776 of the family's 1533-position model. The record is from RNAcentral.